AGUAUUAGAGUCCGUGUUAUUGCUGAUUACAAUCAUUUCAGUAUCAUUUUCCUAGGAAAUCUUUGAAUACUAAGCUGAUACCAGCUACUUUAUAAAAUAUUGUCUUCUAUAAAGUAUUCCAUGUCUGUUUUUGUGAGUUAUCUACGGCUAUGUAUUUAGUAUUUAAAGAAAGAUGCACUUCUGAUUUAUUUACCUGCUUCUAGCAUGCUAAUUUAAAAAUUUAAUUUUUACUCUCUUCCCCAGGAAUACUUUUUAAUACGACUUCUGCAGAGAUGGUGAUAAACAUAUGCUUUCUAAAGGAUUUUAACCUGAAUGGAAAAGACAAUAUGAGGGUGAUGAAAGACCCUAGACGGUCCGCCUUGGCAUCUGCUCAAUGAAGGCGAACCGCAGAAAUGUGAACUCCUCCUGCUUCUGCUAUUCGUAGGAAGAGGCAGACUUGAAACCCUGCAGUUGUCUGUGGCCUAAACAAUGAUCAACUUGCGAAAUACGGGUUUUUUUUUUUUAUUUGCCUAAGCAGAGAAACACUAAUGGUGCGUUCCUUCAAUUAAAGAGAAAAAAAUAGAUCUACCAAUACUACUGCAUUUGUUCAUUGAUAAAUUCAUUCAUUC
RNAcentral lists this long non-coding RNA (608 nucleotides) under Macaca mulatta (Rhesus monkey). RNAcentral's name for it is "lncRNA (ENSMMUG00000055009.1)". The record is from RNAcentral. Lineage: Eukaryota; Metazoa; Chordata; Mammalia; Primates; Cercopithecidae.